Molecule: non-coding RNA, 674 nt
Organism: Podarcis lilfordi (Lilford's wall lizard)
Lineage: Eukaryota; Metazoa; Chordata; Lepidosauria; Squamata; Lacertidae
Source: the annotation of a GenBank genome assembly
CUUUCUUGCUGCGCGCCGCCUAGAAGCAGCCAGGGCCUAAGACGGGGUCUAAGGCAGCCCACGCCGGGAUGCUUAUGCUCUCCCCUUCCCACCCAAGGCCGAGGUGAAGCCGCUGGAAAGGGCGGCGCGGCGGGGCUUCGCCUCUCUGAAAGCUGCCUGGAGGCCGAGGCUCUCCUCAGGCGCGCGAAGGGCGGGCAGGUGCGCCGGUUCCCAGCGGGGCGGGUAGCGCGACCUGGUCCUCCCGUGAAAGGCCUGUUCAGAGGCGAGGAAGGAGCGCGAAACACAGCAAGGAAAUCCAUCUCCUCUCCAGGGCAAAGCCUGAUCGCCGGGGAGACUUGACCACAACAUGAGACUAGCCUGCUGGAUCAGGCCAGUGGGCCAUCCUCUUUUCACAGUGGCCAUAGAAUUGUAAGGGACGCUGCGGGUCAUCUAGUGCAACCCCUGGUCUGCUAUUGAUACAGUGCUUCCGACUUUACUAAUGCUAAUGCUUCAUGUUCCCAGAUGGCAACCUGGUACCCUUGUUUUGGACUACAACUCCCAUCAUCCCAGACCAGCCCAGCUGACACACAGGGUUAUCCCAAACACCUAGAGGGCAUCAGGUUGGUCUCCUCACCUAUUCCUCUGGAAGCUGAGCCAAAGCAGACGUGGUUUUCUACACCAGACCAUUCUCUCGC